AUUGAACGCUGGCGGCAGGCCUAACACAUGCAAGUCGAACGAGUGGCGGACUGGUGAGUAAUGUCUGGGAAACUGCCUGAUGGAGGGGGCUAACUACUGGAAACUGUAGCUAAUACCGCAUACCAUCAGAUGUGCCCAGAUGGGAUUAGCUUGUAGGUGGGGUAAUGGCUCACCUGGGCGACGAUCCCUAGCUGGUCUGAGAGGAUGACCAGCCACACUGGAAAGGAGACACGGUCCAGACUCCUACGGGAGGCAGCAGUGGGGAAGAUUGCACAAUGGGCGAAAGCCUGAUGCAGCAAUGCCGCGUGGGUGAAGAAGGCCUUCGGGUUGUAAAGUACUUUCAGCGAGGAGGCGUUACUCGCAGAAGAAGCACCGGCUAACUCCGUGCCAGCAGCCGCGGUAAUAC
Molecule: ribosomal RNA, 406 nt
Filed under: uncultured bacterium
Lineage: Bacteria
Description: partial 16S ribosomal RNA
Rfam family: Bacterial small subunit ribosomal RNA
Source: RNAcentral